RNAcentral lists this small nuclear RNA (133 nucleotides) under Schmidtea mediterranea. RNAcentral's name for it is "U11 spliceosomal RNA". It matches the Rfam family "U11 spliceosomal RNA". The record is from Rfam by way of RNAcentral. Lineage: Eukaryota; Metazoa; Platyhelminthes; Tricladida; Dugesiidae.
UAAAAGGGCCUCUGCUGUGCGUAGCACAGAAUCAGACAUAAUUAUGUUCGAUUCUGCGGAAUGGUUAUCAAGACAUUUCGGAGGAAUAAUGUUUAGAAAUCGAGCUGCUAUGUUUCAUAUAACUGGCGCUCCU